Molecule: small nuclear RNA, 90 nt
Organism: Ursus americanus (American black bear)
Lineage: Eukaryota; Metazoa; Chordata; Mammalia; Carnivora; Ursidae
Source: Ensembl
GUACAGCACAUAUACUAAAACUGGAACGAUAAAGAUUAGCAUGCUCUGCGCAAGGAAGACCUGCAAAUUCGUGAAGUGUUCCAUAUUAAA